CAGUAGCCACGGGAAUACGGAGGAUCCAAGCGUUAUCCGGAAUCAUUGGGUUUAAAGGGUCCGUAGGCGGUCUUGUAAGUCAGUGGUGAAAGCCCAUCGCUCAACGGUGGAACGGCCAUUGAUACUGCAGGACUUGAAUUAUUGGGAAGUAACUAGAAUAUGUAGUGUAGCGGUGAAAUGCUUAGAGAUUACAUGGAAUACCAAUUGCGAAGGCAGGUUACUACCAAUUGAUUGACGCUGAUGGACGAAAGCGUGGGUAGCGAACAGGAUUAGAUACCCGUGUAGUCCCUGUCUCUUAUAA
This 301-nucleotide ribosomal RNA is filed under the name uncultured bacterium. RNAcentral's name for it is "partial 16S ribosomal RNA". It matches the Rfam family "Bacterial small subunit ribosomal RNA", at positions 509 to 809 of the family's 1533-position model. The record is from RNAcentral.